AGCGCGUUACCGACCAGCCGGACUCAAUCACUGACCACUUCGCCACUCAUCUCUUUCAACAGCCCUUAAACUGACCGGGACGUAAAUGAACACCUUUUCCUUUCCGCUUCUCCUUUUUUUUAAGGAAUACAAGACGAUAAUCAGAUAAAAAGACUAAAUUAUGUUUAUCUUGGAUUAAGUCUGCCUGGGUAAUUAAAAAUAGGAGGCCUUCAAUACCAGAAUGCACCAUGGGAACAGAUAAUGGAGUCUGGUAGACCCCUGGCUUCAUCACCUGAACCGUUCUUCCUUCAUAUGGCCUCAUCUAAAGCCAGCUCAUCCCCUGCUCCACCCCAGAAACUCCACACCAAGUCCAGAGCGACCCGUAGUCCUAUAGUCAGCUCUCCCAUCACCAUUUCUGGUAUGUAUAGACAGUAGAAAACUUUACAUUAGACUUAGUUAGAUGUGCUCAAAGUAAUAUAACAAGGUUACAGUUAGUAAGACUUUCAACAUUCAUCCAAGUGGUUUAGGAAAAGUAUUGCAUUAGCUGUGUGUAAAAAAACAGAAAAACAAAAACAAAAAAAACCCCCAACUAAUUAAUAAAUAAAUAAAUACUGACAGUUUUAUACAUAGUCCCAUUUAUAGAGGCUUAAAUUAAACAAUUGCCUUACAGAACAGUUUCAUGGCCAGAUGAGGCCUGUUCCCUUACAGUUCUACAUGUGGAGUCGAUUUUGCAUUUGGUAGACGUUCACUGAAACUCUCUUUAUCAUAUCCAAAAAGAUGUGACUGCACGUCAAGGAUGCCAUCAUUAAGCAGGAAGAUCAAA
Molecule: long non-coding RNA, 802 nt
Organism: Astatotilapia calliptera (eastern happy)
Lineage: Eukaryota; Metazoa; Chordata; Actinopteri; Cichliformes; Cichlidae
Source: Ensembl